AAGUGCUGUGUACACUUGUAAUUGACAUGCAUAUUAAAUAUUGUUUUAUAAGUUCUUUUGUAAAUGCCUAAUGUAUAUUGUAAGUGUACUUUUACAAACAAAAAAAUAAUUGAUUUGUCGCCGACUAAUUUGUUAUGACGCUUCUUAUACGUAGAACUGUUCUUCUUGGUGGUGGGGCUUUGGGCGAACUUAUUUCUAAAUGUAAGUACGUAUCCUACCAUCGGUUACUUUAACGGCAGACAUCAAUACCAUAAACUGUGAUGUUCCUGUUAUGGGGUAGAUAAGCCAAUGCUGGUGGUAGAGCUUUGUGCAAACUCGUCUAGGCUACUAGUUACCUCGAGCAGGUGGUGCAGCGUGCGCGCCCAGCGGAUGUAGGGCGGCGAGGCGGGCGAGCGCGCCGAGCUGCCCGACGAGCCCUCCGUCUCCUCGCGCCACGACGCCAUACCCGCCCUGCGCGCGCACACACACAGGCUGAACUUCAGCCAAACAUUGAAAUUAUAUUUAUUCAAGCGACUUCAGCUAACAUUGGAUAUUGGGUGAUAACUUAAAUAAUAUUGUGUAUUUUUCUUUCGAACAUCAAAUCAAUGACGACGUAAAGAAAGAAACCAGUAUUUAAUUAAACAUCCGUUGAACAACAGUUUAUAUGUAUGGCCGUCAGUAAAUAACAAUAGGAAGCGUACUUAGAGAGAUG
Molecule: long non-coding RNA, 691 nt
Organism: Nymphalis io (European peacock)
Lineage: Eukaryota; Metazoa; Arthropoda; Insecta; Lepidoptera; Nymphalidae
Exons: 3
Source: RefSeq, a predicted model, not a curated record